AUAAUGACCAUUCAAAAGAAAAUGGGCAUAUGCUACACUUCAAAGAUUCUUCAUCAAUAAGUUCUCAUUUGGAAAAACUGUGACUGUACAUUUAACACUCCAACAAAAUUUAACUCUAGUGGCAUUAUUUUAGUGCCAUUUAUAACAAAUGUUGCCUAAGAUCUUGAAUAGUAUCCAAAACUUACACCUUUAGAUGACAUAUCAUUAAAUGCCACCAGCAAAUGCCACUAAAGGCCCUUUUUCACCAAGCGGGAUUCUAUAUUAUAAUGCCACUUUGCCCAAAUUUUUUGAAUGACCAAAAUUUUUUGAAUGACCAAAAUUUUUUGAACAACCCAAAUUUUUAUCUUUUCAUUUCAAUUAACCCACAACUUUCCAAUAUCUUCAUCUGAUUCCUUUUCCUCCUUCCUAAACUACAAGUACCUUUCUUCCCUAAUCUUGAAUUGUAUUGGUCUAUUUCAUUAUUUUGCAGAUUUUUUUUCUUCGAGAAAUUGAGUUCUCUAAAUUUAGGUAUAAUACAUUCUUCUCAAAUUUAUGUGAUUCAAUUUAAGGGUUUGAGUGAUUAUAAUCAUUGUCACAACUUUGUUAGAUUUUUAGAGGUAUGCUAGUCAAUUCUUCUUUCAUUAUCAUUCUUCUUGCUACUUAUAUUCAGAAUUCUUAGUAUCCUUGUCAGAUCUGCAGCAGCCAUGUAUUACAUGGUUUCUAAACAAGGUUGUAGCAGCGAAUGACGACGCUUGAAAGUAAACAGCUCCGAGAACUGAACGACACCGUGAAUUCUUCAUCCUUUAAAGGUGUUGAAAGAUACAAUUGGAGACAUCUUUGUUCAAGAUUUUGUAAUGCUUAAUGACGUUGUCUUCCAAUUUUUUGUUUAUUUCAGAAGUAGUAUAUUGAUACUUGUAUAGAAAUAGCUUAAUAGACACUAGAUUGGUUCAUAUAUAUGACGAUCUUAUGUAUAUUGUUCAAUAUAUGAAGUAUAUGAAAUGCUGAAGUACUUUGCCAAUAAAAUUUUCAUUUGUGUAUACAACCCAAA
Spinacia oleracea (spinach) is the source of this 1027-nucleotide long non-coding RNA. RefSeq lists it as uncharacterized. The transcript has 2 exons. The record is from RefSeq and is a predicted model, not a curated record. Lineage: Eukaryota; Viridiplantae; Streptophyta; Magnoliopsida; Caryophyllales; Amaranthaceae.